RNAcentral lists this ribosomal RNA (465 nucleotides) under uncultured bacterium. RNAcentral describes it as "bacterial SSU rRNA". It matches the Rfam family "Bacterial small subunit ribosomal RNA", at positions 37 to 518 of the family's 1533-position model. The record is from RNAcentral.
UGGCGGCGAUGCUUCAUACAUGCAAGUCGAACGAUAAGGUCUCUUCGGAGAUACAUAAGUGGCGGACGGGUGAGUAAUAUGUAGGAAAUCUGCCCUAGAGAGGGGGACGAACAAGAGGGAAACUUCUGCUAAUACCCCAUAUGAGCGUACCUGAAAUGGUAUUCUUGAAAACUCCGGUGCUCUAGGAUGAGCCUGCAUCUGAUUAGCUUGUUGGCGGUGUAAUGGACCACCAAGGCGACGAUCAGUAGCUGGUUUGAGAGGAUGAUCAGCCACAAUGGGACUGAGACACGGCCCAUACUCCUACGGGAGGCAGCAGUAGGGAAUUUUGCGCAAUGGGCGAAAGCCUGAACCGCAGCAAUGCCGCGUGAACGUAGAAGCCCUUCGGGGUGUAAAGUUCUGUCAGUGGGGACGAAUUCUGACGGUACCCACAGAGGAAGCACCGGCUAACUCCGUGCCAGCCGCAGC